Molecule: long non-coding RNA, 857 nt
Organism: Myotis brandtii (Brandt's bat)
Lineage: Eukaryota; Metazoa; Chordata; Mammalia; Chiroptera; Vespertilionidae
Exons: 2
Source: RefSeq, a predicted model, not a curated record
GGCCCGGGGAGCCCCGUGAGCGCGAGCGCCGCGGGCCACUUCCUUGGUCCCCUACGAUUCGACCCGGGCAGAGUCGCCCCUUCGGAAGCGGCCCCGCCUUAGCGAGUCGCAGGUGGACCCCGUUAGCCCGCAGCUUAUCUCCUGACUGCAGCUGGAAUGGUGGAAGGGGCUAGGGAAGGAUACCGAAGGACCUGAUAAAAAAAAGUCUUUUCUUUGACUCCAGCUGCAACUGGUCUUAAGGGGAGAGAAUCCAUGUUGGUCAACAGAAUUUGGUUUUGGCAUCGCUUAAGUUUACUGCUUCAACGGCCAGACUCUGGUUGUUAAGUAACAUCCAAGUGGGUAUGCCUUUUUAGGGUUUUUAAUUAAAAGAGAGCAGCAGCAAGAGUGGCAUUUUAACUCUUCUAGUGUUUUUUUUUUUUAGUUGCUACAGUAACUAGUUUUAAGUCUACAAAUAUUUGCAUUCUUCUUCCUAAAGAAAAGGUCACAAAGAUGAAUGGGGGGAGGAGAACAAAGAUAGGAAUUUGUACAAGAUUUCAACUCAAGUGUGCAGGUUUAAUAUUUAUUUUCCAAGAAAAGAAGUACUUUAAAUUGUAAUAGUGUCUGUUGAACCUAGUUGCUAGGUUCUCUGCACUUCACAUGGCACAACAAUCCUUUAAGGUGGACACUAUCUCCAUUUUAGAGAGGGGAUUCUUGAGGCUCAGAGAGUUCACAUAUCUUUCUAGAGGUUGCACAGCUGGUUAGAAAGAAGAUGGGCAUCACAGAUACUUUUGUAAAGCAUUCGCUCUUUCCAGCAUCACAAUUUUCCUCAACUGUAGACAAUGUUAUGUGGUUCAGAACCAACCACAAACCUCCAUGUC